CGUAACAAGGUUUCCGUAGGUGAACCUGCGGAAGGAUCAUUAUCGAAAUGAAAGAUAGAGAUAGGUAGAGGGGACUGUCGCUGGCUUGACCUAGUCUUGCAUGUGCACGUCCUUCUCUCCGUCCUAUACACACACACACCUGUGCACAUUUUGUAGAUCCUCUUGAAAGAGAGAGAUCUAUGUYUUAAUCACAUCACAUACUAUUGUACGGCUAGAAUGAAAUAUAAACACAUAAUACAACUUUCAGCAACGGAUCUCUUGGCUCUCGCAUCGAUGAAGAACGCAGCGAAUUGCGAUAAGUAAUGUGAAUUGCAGAUUUCCAGUGAAUCAUCGAAUCUUUGAACGCAUCUUGCGCUCCUUGGUAUUCCGAGGAGCAUGCCUGUUUGAGUGUCAUUUAAAUCAUCAACCAUAUCUUUGAUAUGGCUUGGAGUUGGGAGCUGCUGGCAGGAAUGACAGCUCUCCUUAAAUUUAUUAGCAAUCGAGUUGGCUAGUCUUUGGCAUGCACGGCCUUGGACGUGAUAAUGAUCGUCCUGGCUGGAGUGUCUUUGAUAGGACUAUGCAGCAUAGAUAGCUUCUAACAAAUCAAAGGAAAGUGCUUGUAGUUGUACUUGGUCAGAAAUAGGGAAAUGGAUCCAUGUAACUUAGCUACUAGGCAGUCCAUCUAGGCUGGCGAACACAAGGAAAAAUGGAUCUGAUCUGCUUAGACUAUGAUCAAUACUAGAUCAAGGACUUUGUCUAACAUAUAAUUACUUGAACUUGACCUCAAAUCAGGUAGGACUACCCGCUGAACUUAAGCAU
RNAcentral lists this ribosomal RNA (798 nucleotides) under Phylloporus attenuatus. Its description in RNAcentral is "eukaryotic LSU rRNA". Lineage: Eukaryota; Fungi; Basidiomycota; Agaricomycetes; Boletales; Boletaceae. The record is from RNAcentral.